UAUUUUAAAGAGAGUUUGAUCCUGGCUCAGGACGAACGCUGGCGGCGUGCCUAAUACAUGCAAGUCGAACGAACGGAGGAAGAGCUUGCUCUUCCAAUGUUAGUGGCGGACGGGUGAGUAACACGUGGGCAACCUGCCUGUAAGUUGGGGAUAACUCCGGGAAACCGGGGCUAAUACCGAAUGAUAAGAUGUGGCGCAUGCCACGCCUUUGAAAGAUGGUUUCGGCUAUCGCUUACAGAUGGGCCCGCGGUGCAUUAGCUAGUUGGUAGGGUAAUGGCCUACCAAGGCAACGAUGCAUAGCCGACCUGAGAGGGUGAUCGGCCACACUGGGACUGAGACACGGCCCAGACUCCUACGGGAGGCAGCAGUAGGGAAUCUUCCGCAAUGGACGAAAGUCUGACGGAGCAACGCCGCGUGUAUGAAGAAGGUUUUCGGAUCGUAA
RNAcentral lists this ribosomal RNA (442 nucleotides) under Listeria monocytogenes. RNAcentral's name for it is "bacterial SSU rRNA". It matches the Rfam family "Bacterial small subunit ribosomal RNA", at positions 1 to 428 of the family's 1533-position model. Lineage: Bacteria; Bacillati; Bacillota; Bacilli; Caryophanales; Listeriaceae. The record is from RNAcentral.